RNAcentral lists this ribosomal RNA (700 nucleotides) under uncultured organism. Its description in RNAcentral is "bacterial SSU rRNA". It matches the Rfam family "Bacterial small subunit ribosomal RNA", at positions 61 to 753 of the family's 1533-position model. The record is from RNAcentral.
GUCGAGGGGUAACAGUCCCGCUUCGGCGGGAGCUGACGACCGGCGCACGGGUGAGUAACGCGUAUGCAACUUUCCUGUAACUGGAGGAUAGCCCCUGGAAACGGGGAUUAAUACUGCGUAAUACCUAAAUACCGCAUGGUAUUAAGGUCAAAUCUACGGAGGUUACAGAUGGGCAUGCGUGCCAUUAGCUAGAUGGUAAGGCAACGGCUUACCAUGGCAAUGAUGGCUAGGGGUUCUGCAAGGAAGGCCCCCCACACUGGUACUGAGACACGGACCAGACUCCUACGGGAGGCAGCAGUGAGGAAUAUUGGUCAAUGGAGGCAACUCUGAACCAGCCAAGCCGCGUGAAGGAAGACUGUCCUAUGGAUUGUAAACUUCUUUUGUGGCAGAAUAAACUACCGUACUUGUACGGUAUUGCAUGUAUGCCAUGAAUAAGCAUCGGCUAACUCCGUGCCAGCAGCCGCGGUAAUACGGAGGAUGCAGGCGUUAUCCGGAUUUAUUAGGUUUAAAGGGUGUUCAGGCUGCCUGGUAAGUCAGGGGUGAAAGUCGGUUGCUCAACGAUCGAAUUGCCUUUGAAACUGUCAGGCUCGAGUAUGGAUGCGGUAGGCGGAAUGUGUAGUGUAAGCGGUGAAAUGCAUAGAUAUUACACAGAACACCGAUUGCGAAGGCAGCUUACCAAACCAGCACUGACGCUGAAGCA